RNAcentral lists this ribosomal RNA (516 nucleotides) under Alphaproteobacteria bacterium CG11_big_fil_rev_8_21_14_0_20_44_7. RNAcentral describes it as "bacterial SSU rRNA". It matches the Rfam family "Bacterial small subunit ribosomal RNA", at positions 1016 to 1533 of the family's 1533-position model. The record is from RNAcentral. Lineage: Bacteria; Pseudomonadati; Pseudomonadota; Alphaproteobacteria.
CAGCUCGGCUGGAUCAGUGACAGGUGCUGCAUGGCUGUCGUCAGCUCGUGUCGUGAGAUGUUGGGUUAAGUCCCGCAACGAGCGCAACCCUCAUCCUGUGUUACCAGCGGUUCGGCCGGGGACUCUCAGGAAACUGCCCGUGACAAGCGGGAGGAAGGCGAGGAUGACGUCAAGUCAGCACGGCCCUUAUGAGCUGGGCUACACACGUGCUACAAUGGUGGUGACAGUGGGCAGCGACCCUGCGAGGGGAAGCUAAUCUCCAAAAACCAUCUCAGUUCGGAUUGUACUCUGCAACUCGAGUGCAUGAAGUUGGAAUCGCUAGUAAUCGUAGGUCAGCAUACUACGGUGAAUACGUUCCCGGGUCUUGUACACACCGCCCGUCACACCAUGGGAGUUGGUUUUACCUGAAGCCGGUGGGCUAAUCUGGCAGCCGUCCACGGUAAGAUCAGCGACUGGGGUGAAGUCGUAACAAGGUAGCCGUAGGGGAACCUGCGGCUGGAUUACCUCCUUUUAAGA